UACGUAGGUGGCGAGCGUUGUCCGGAUUUACUGGGCGUAAAGGGCGUGCAGGCGGUUUGUUAAGUGCAGGGUGAAAGCUCCCGGCUCAACUGGGAGAGGUCCUUGCAUACUGGCGAACUCGAGGGAGGCAGUGGAAAGUGGAAUUCCCGGUGUAGUGGUGAUAUGCGUAGAUAUCGGGAGGAACACCUGUGGCGAAGGCGGCUUUCUGGGCCUUACCUGACGCUGAGACGCGAAAGCGUGGGGAGCGAACCGG
RNAcentral lists this ribosomal RNA (253 nucleotides) under uncultured bacterium. RNAcentral describes it as "partial 16S ribosomal RNA". It matches the Rfam family "Bacterial small subunit ribosomal RNA", at positions 524 to 776 of the family's 1533-position model. The record is from RNAcentral.